This 407-nucleotide ribosomal RNA is filed under the name Cutibacterium acnes. RNAcentral describes it as "bacterial SSU rRNA". It matches the Rfam family "Bacterial small subunit ribosomal RNA", at positions 44 to 449 of the family's 1533-position model. Lineage: Bacteria; Bacillati; Actinomycetota; Actinomycetes; Propionibacteriales; Propionibacteriaceae. The record is from RNAcentral.
GUGCUUAACACAUGCAAGUCGAACGGAAAGGCCCUGCUUUUGUGGGGUGCUCGAGUGGCGAACGGGUGAGUAACACGUGAGUAACCUGCCCUUGACUUUGGGAUAACUUCAGGAAACUGGGGCUAAUACCGGAUAGGAGCUCCUGCUGCAUGGUGGGGGUUGGAAAGUUUCGGCGGUUGGGGAUGGACUCGCGGCUUAUCAGCUUGUUGGUGGGGUAGUGGCUUACCAAGGCUUUGACGGGUAGCCGGCCUGAGAGGGUGACCGGCCACAUUGGGACUGAGAUACGGCCCAGACUCCUACGGGAGGCAGCAGUGGGGAAUAUUGCACAAUGGGCGGAAGCCUGAUGCAGCAACGCCGCGUGCGGGAUGACGGCCUUCGGGUUGUAAACCGCUUUCGCCUGUGACGAA